RNAcentral lists this ribosomal RNA (393 nucleotides) under uncultured bacterium. RNAcentral's name for it is "bacterial SSU rRNA". It matches the Rfam family "Bacterial small subunit ribosomal RNA", at positions 28 to 412 of the family's 1533-position model. The record is from RNAcentral.
GACGAACGCUGGCGGCGUGCCUAAUACAUGCAAGUCGAGCGAAUUUACGAGAGUUUGCUCUCGUAAAUUAGCGGCGGACGGGUGAGUAACACGUGGGCAACCUGCCUAUAAGACUGGGAUAACUUCGGGAAACCGGAGCUAAUACCGGAUAAUUCACAUCUACUCAUGUAGAUGUGCUGAAAGACGGUUUACGCUGUCACUUAUAGAUGGGCCCGCGGCGCAUAGCUAGUUGGUGAGGUAACGGCUCACCAAGGCCACGAUGCGUAGCCGACCUGAGAGGGUGAUCGGCCACACUGGGACUGAGACACGGCCCAGACUCCUACGGGAGGCAGCAGUGGGGAAUCUUGCGCAAUGGGCGAAAGCCUGACGCAGCGACGCCGCGUGAGGGAUGAC